Molecule: non-coding RNA, 1222 nt
Organism: Pelobates cultripes (western spadefoot toad)
Lineage: Eukaryota; Metazoa; Chordata; Amphibia; Anura; Pelobatidae
Source: the annotation of a GenBank genome assembly
GUUUUUAUUAUAGUUGAAUAUCCACAUCUAAUGGCGACAAAGAUAAGAGCAAAGCAGUAUAUGAUACUUUAAAACAUUCUAUGGAUUUCUCCACACUGAUUCCUGUUGUAUCCUGGUUAAUAAGUUCUUUGUGCAGAUGACCUUUAUAUUAACAUAGGCAAUAAAAUAUUGACGUUUUAGGUAUUCUGCUGAAUCCCAGACUUCCAGUUUCUCAGCAUCUUUAAUGUAGAACAGGCAAAUAAAACACUUUAGAAUUUUGUUGUGUUUUGUUUUUUUGGAAUGUGCAGAAAUACUUAUAAAAUUAGUGCUUCUAAUUAAUGCUUCAGUGAUUCCAGUGAUUGCUUAACACACAGCACGUAAAGAUACAUAACAUGACAUUUAAAUAACAGAUGUUUUUACCCAGGUGUAAGUUAUGUAAGUCUCCAGACUGCAAUUGAGUUUCCAAGAGUUGGUUGCUCCUUUUGUGCUUCUUCUUUUAUCUGUAAUGGCCCUGUCAAGCUCAACAUGACAAUAAUUACAGGAAGGUACUAUAAAGUGUUGUAGCACAGCUGAAUGAUUCCAAUAUUCACCUUGAACAUUGCCUGAUUUUAGUUUCACAUGCUGAAGUGCAUUAUUAAUGUUUUAUAAUGAUUCUGUGUUUGACCAGGCUUGUUUCACAUUGCUCUUGUAUUGAUAUCCCUCAACUGGUUAGACUUUCCAAUUAUGAAUUCCAGGUUCUCCAGACCACUUUCUUAAAGAAAUCUUCUAUUUUCUUUGACCAUAAUCUUCAAAUACUUUAAGUCCCACGAUAAAAUUCAGUAAUGCAUUAUAUCUCAUUCUUCUUAUAUUUCAUCUUAUGCUGUAUUAUAGUGUAUUUAAAGGAUGUCAACUAUAUUGCAUCAGACCAGUCCCUGAUAGGCUUGUUUUAUAGAACCCAAAUGCAUCUCAAGCAGGUUAAUAAUACCUGCUUAGAAAAAAGUAGAAAAACAUGAACUGAUAAGAAGUGGUCUCAGACAUGUAAACAAACAUCAUGUUAAUCAUCUUGACAAGCACAUUUAAAAAAAUGUAGACCAUCACGGUACCAUGAAUAAUGAGUAAUUUUCUUCAUGAUGUGUUUGGAAAACUGGCCUUGAUUUAAUGUCUUUGGAUAUGCUUUUCAAAUGAUUUAAUAUUUAUGAAAAAGCUUUUCAAAUGAUUUAAUAUUUUUGGAUAAAGUUUUCAUUUUUUUUUUUUCAAAAUAGUC